AAAGGCUUGGACCUGAGGUACUAUCAGAUUUAACCCAGUUCACCAUGCAAGUAUCCGCAUUCCCGUGAGAAUGCCCCAAAUUCUCUGUUCGAGAACAGGGAGCAGGUAUCAGGCACGACAACCCAGCCCAAGACACCUUGCUAUGCCACACCCCCAAGGGAUUAUCAGCAGUUGUAGACAUUAGGCCAUUAGUGAAAACUUGACUUAGCUAGGGCUAAAAGAGUCGGUAAAAUUCGUGCCAGCUACCGCGGUUAUACGAAAGACUCUAGUUGAUAGAUAUCGGCGCAAAGGGUGGUUAGGAAUAUAAAUAAAAAUAGGGCUAAAGACCUUCCAAGCUGUUAUACGCCACUGAAGACACGAAACCCCACAUUACGAAAGUGGCCCUACUAUAAUCAUCCGACCCCACGAAAGUUGAGAAACAAACUGGGAUUAGAGACCCCACUAUGCUCAGCCAUAAACUCAGAUGAGGCCUCACUCAUCCGCCCGGGUACUACGAGCACAGCUUAAAACCCAAAGGACUUGGCGGUGCUUCAGAUCCACCUAAAGGAGCCUGUUCUAAAACCGAUACCCCCCGUUAAACCUCUCCACCUCUUGUUAAUUCCGUCUAUAUACCGCCGUCGUCAGCUCACCCCGUAAGGGAAUAAAAGAAAGCAAAGAGGACACCCUCCAAAACGUCAGGUCGAGGUGUAGUGUAUGAGGUGGCAAGAAAUGGGCUACAUUUUCUAUAUAUAGAACACAACGAACAGCAUCAAUGAAAUAUUACGCUUGAAGGAGGAUUUAGUAGUAAAAAGAAAAUAGAGAGUUCUUUUGAAACAGGCUUUGAAGCGCGCACACACCGCCCGUCAAUCUCCCC
This 853-nucleotide non-coding RNA is filed under the name Megalechis picta (armored hoplo catfish). Its description in RNAcentral is "partial 12S ribosomal RNA". It matches the Rfam family "Bacterial small subunit ribosomal RNA". Lineage: Eukaryota; Metazoa; Chordata; Actinopteri; Siluriformes; Callichthyidae. The record is from RNAcentral.